This 784-nucleotide long non-coding RNA is filed under the name Homo sapiens (human). RNAcentral describes it as "HSALNT0073223". Lineage: Eukaryota; Metazoa; Chordata; Mammalia; Primates; Hominidae. The record is from RNAcentral.
ACAGGUGUGAGCCACCGUGCCCGGCCAUUUCUGGUAAUUUCAUUUGAUCCUAUUAGAUCCUAUUGGUAUAUUAGAUAAGAGACCAGGUGAGAAGCUUCCCUAAUUAUUGUCCUAAAAUGGUUUCUGGAGAUCAAAGAUCCUGACACAGGUUAUCUUCUUCCUUCAUUGACCAAAAAAUAUAUAUUGCCACCUGCUAUGGCAGUGACACGAUGUUAAUUAUAGAAUUAGAAAUAAUACUCUAAAGGCCAGGCACAGUGGCUCAUGCCUGUAAUCCCAGAAAUUUGGGAUUUCUGCUGAGGUGGGCAGAUCACUUGAGGUCAGGAGUUCGAGACCAGCCUGGCCAACAUGGUGAACCCCAUUUCUACUAGAAAUACAAAAAUUAGCUGGGCGUUGUGGUGGGUGCCUGUAAUCCCAGCUAUUCAGGAGGCCGGGGCAGGAGAAUCACUUGAACCCGGGAGGGGGAAGUUGCAGUGAGCUGAGAUCACCCCAUUGCACUCCAGCCUGGGUGACAAAACGAGACUCUGACUCAAAAAAAAAAAAAAAGAAAGAAAGAAAUAAUACUCUAAGGUAUUAAGGGGAACACUUAAUACCUUAAUACAUUACCCUUAAUACAUUAAAGAUAAGAAGGGAACACUCUUCCCCUCACUUCGUGUUGUAGUUAUAGCAUUGAGUUCAUUGCCAUUGGGUAAGGCUUGUCAUAGCAGACAAUUUUAAAUAGGCUUUUUAAGCCUAUGGCAGAAUCAAUAUCUUAAAAGAAAAAUUUGUUUAUUUUUAGUCAAAAGAG